This 253-nucleotide ribosomal RNA is filed under the name uncultured bacterium. RNAcentral's name for it is "partial 16S ribosomal RNA". It matches the Rfam family "Bacterial small subunit ribosomal RNA", at positions 524 to 776 of the family's 1533-position model. The record is from RNAcentral.
UACGGAGGGGGCGAGCGUUAUUCGGAAUUAUUGGGCGUAAAGGGCGCGUAGGCGGCUUGAUGUGUCAAAGGUGAAAUCCCUCGGCUCAACCGGGGAACUGCGUCUGAUACUGGGUGGCUUGAAUCCGGGAGAGGGAUGCGGAAUUCCAGGUGUAGCGGUGAAAUGCGUAGAUAUCUGGAGGAACACCGGUGGCGAAGGCGGCAUCCUGGACCGGCAUUGACGCUGAGGCGCGAAAGCCAGGGGAGCAAACGGG